GCAUCCAUCGUCCAGAGGCCUAGGACGCCCGACUGUCUAUCGGAGAACACGGGUUCGAAUCCCGUUGGGUGCGCCA
RNAcentral lists this transfer RNA (76 nucleotides) under uncultured bacterium. Its description in RNAcentral is "tRNA-Asp". It matches the Rfam family "tRNA". Rfam says of the family: Transfer RNA (tRNA) molecules are approximately 80 nucleotides in length. Their secondary structure includes four short double-helical elements and three loops (D, anti-codon, and T loops). The record is from RNAcentral.